CACGCGAGGCUAGAGUGGCUCUUGGCAACAGGAGUGACGAUAAACUCCUAAAAUGCCGUGGGUUAUGAGUUGCUGCUCAAAAACUUCCCACCCAGGGAAGGGGGCUAGAAACAGGAAGGGGGAGUGCGGUGUCGUGGAGAGAUUGCGCACGGCUUAUGCUGGCGUAUCUUUGCUUCUUCUAAAAUAUUUUUGUUUAUUUCUAGAGAAGGAAUUUUUGGGCCUUAAAACUUUUCCAACCGUGUUGGAACUGCCUUAGCGUGUGCGCUGUGACGACAGGCGCCCACGUCUCCGCAGUUGUACGUGCCUGAAGCGUGGUUUAGCGCUUUGCAUGGAAAAGGUGUACAGCGGCGCACAGGUGUAUGCGUUUGCAGUAGGAAAGCUGUCAACAUGCAAGGUAGUCGAGGUUUGAGCAGGCUCAGGUGUGUGGGCAUCCAGAAGAACAGUGUGGGAAAAGAGCUUUUGUUUAAGUGCGGAGAGGAAAAGUUUCAAUGUGUGCGCCACGCCGGUGCAACGUAGACCUGUCUGUGAAGCAUGUGCUACGUCCGCAAAAGAAGAGCGGGAAGAAUCAGAUUUUUGAAACUGCUACGUUUUCUCUGAUGGUGACUCAUCCACCUAUAACUAGAGCAAAGAUUCCAGAUCAAAUGCCAAUGGAUGCAAUGUUGUUAAAGAAACAUUUGGAGAGAUGCGUACACGGACACCAUGAUCACAAAAACUUCAUUUCCAUAGGAAAGAAUGAAAAUAGACAUGCGUGCGUAUUAUUAUAAUCCUAGAUUCUUCAGAGUCAUAUUUCUGGAGUCCUGGCAGAAAUGUAAAAGUCGGACUGCAAUGCUGAACGUUACUGUGUGUAACCCCUCUGGGAAGACUUAAAAGGCAAAAUAGGUGUUAUCUCUGCAGCUGGGAGUGCCAGAUCCUUUUGCUGGAAGUUUUCCAGUGACCUUUGGAGUCCCUGCAGGGAGUGAAGGGCCCUAUCUCACGUCACCCGCCAGUGGUUCCACAAGAGUCGAUGCUGUCCCAUCAGCCUGUCAGUCUGGCAGUGAAAUCACUCUGCCACAGGGUCCAUAUGCUGCUGACGGGAAUUUCAGCACAGUAUUCCAGCCUAUACCCCCCCAGGAUCAUGUCCACAGUGCAAACAAGGACUGCUUAGAAAGGUUGAUGAAGCCUAAGCCACGCUGUACCAUUUUCUUUUUAAAAUCCUUUGAGAUCCAUAGAAAGUUAUGUCUAAGUCAGUGCUAAGGUUCUACAUUACUUUAGUGGCCUUCCCAAAAUGUAUUAGCUCGUCUUUGUAAACGUACCUUGUGAAAACCAGAAGAUUGGGGAUUGACUUUUUUUGAUCUCCUUGCAUGUUGACAAAGUUGUGGUUACUCCGGUAGACUACCUGUUGCCUUAAAAGCAAAUGUAUGAGUACUGCUCCAGGAUGACUGCAUACAUAUUUCUGAAGUAUUAAUGCUAAAUCAAAACACAUAUGUAAUAGACAGUUGUGUAUUUUUUCCUAUGUGAUUCAGUGUCAUAGUGCAAUGUUCAUGGAGAUAUGCUCUAGGACGGUUACCAAUAUAUGUGUUGAGCCUUAGCUACUUCAGUUAAUACUGCAAAUGAGUAUUUUUAGGAGGAGCUGAUCAUCAUAACACACCUUUGACCUCAGAGUGAAUUAUUCAUACAAGCGACGGGAUGCUAUUUUGCUAACUAGCAGGAUUUCCUUAAAUAAUGAUGCUAACCCAGAUGUAGAGCCCAGCAGUCUUUAUGCAUGGUGAGUCUACAGACACCUGUGUUACAUCGGUGUUUAGUCCUAGGUGCAGUUCUGGGCAUUUACAGUUGUGAGCCAGAGUUCCCUAUACAGCUCAUGUAGCAUCUCAGUUAAAGGCCUGAAUUCAGAGUUAACUGUGUGGAAAUACAAGUAGGGAGCUAUGUUUUUUGUUUUCUGGAUUUACCAGCAGGUUAAACCUCCUUUUUUGGAUUAUAUUGUGGAUGAUAUGAUGAGAAGUAGCCAGCCGUAUAUUAAUAGCUGCAGUCUUCAGCAAGUAUUUGGGAACACUCUUCCCCUAAAAGGAGAGUUGGGAACUGACUUGGGAGUGUGUUGUUAACUGCCAUGUUAGUGUUCUGUUACGUAAUUUGUCUGCUAGAAACUGCACCAGUUUCUGCUCAGAUCAGAGAGUCUUCAUGCUCAAUUCAGUGGUGUAGGGGUAGGGUCUGUGAAAAUAAGCUAUAUUUCCUAUAUGUUCCCUUAAGCCAUACAAUGGCAAAAUCAAAAGGAAAAGAAUGACAUUUUCUUGGCAGUUCACUUCAGAAAUAAAUUUAUUUCGAGAUAAAAGUUAAUUUAACUUUUCCGUCAAAAUAUGUAGAAAUAGCAAGGACAUGUGUGAAAAAUAAAGCGUUUCAAAUGUAGGGAAGCAGCAAUGGAAUUUGUGGAUGCUCACUGGUUGUGAUACUAGCUCAGGACAUGUGAAAGCCAAAAUUCCUAGCUUUGCCACUUAUUUCCUGUGUGGCCUUGACAAGUCAUUCCGUCUCCCAGCUCUCUAGCUAUAAAACAGAGAGUAGCAACACUGCUCCACCUCCCAGGAAGAUGUAAGCAUGAAUGAAUUAAAGACUGUGUGAGCUGUUCAUGAUGAGAAAAAACACUGAAGUUUGCAAGAUAGAGAGAAGAUUGAAAAAUAAAUUCAGGUGGGACAGAAGGCAGGUUAUUGUCUAGUCUGAGAUAAAAGACUAGAGAGUGAAUGGACAAUUUGUGGAUAGCGCAAAUAUUGAGCAUGAGGAUAAUUGAUACAUAUUAGUAGGAGAACUCUAAACAUGGUUGGAGGAAGUCUUAAGGCAAAAGUGACAGUCUAAUAAUGCAGAAGAAAAGAGUAGAGUGAGAGAUGGGGAACAAAACUGUUGCAUACUUUUUCCUGGUAUUUCAACUGUAACUUCUUUGGGACAGAACUUAGUGCGGUAUCUGAAAAGCAUUCAGAAUAAUCUGGUCACCAUGCAUAUAAUCAUUGAAAUAUGAUCCUAACCAUAAAAGAGGAACUGUGUAUGUAAUGGCUCAUUAAGCAUGUAAAAAAAUUGGGGACAGGUAAACCACUUACAGUUUCACAGCCUGAUUGUACAUGAUUACAGGUGACAAACUGGAAACAGGUUGAGUUAUGAUCCCUACUGUGAAAGGAGGUGGGUGAGCAGUAGUCAGGCAGUGUCAGGAAGUGAAAAGAUGCUCCCGGUCAACUAGUGUGGUAAUUGCAAGUGACUGAGCUCUCAGGAGAGGAGCCAGGAGUGAGUAGAGCACAAGGACAGCACGUGUUGAGGACAUGGCCACAGAGACCCUGAAGACAAGGGGAAUGAUAAGAAAAGGGAAGAGGAGUAUAGCAUAAUUUAUGUUUUUUCACCCUGGAGCUGUAAACAUUGUUUCUCCAAAGGAGAAAAGCCGUAAUGAUAAGUAAUUCAGUCAUCUGUCAUUGGACAAACUUUGCACAUCAGAAAUGCUAAUGAGUCACCAGUUGCCUUUCCCAGCUGAAGGGAAGGUCCUCUUUACUUGUCAUACCAUGCUGCAUCCUGAUCUACUGGCUUCCAAGGGGAUUGGCUUUGGCACAUAAAGCCUUUUCAUUUGAAAAUUGUCAUGGUGUGGCAGCUUUUACAUGUGCAGUAUCAUGUUUCCCCUCCCUGGGGCACAGGAGAGGGGAGAAGUGGGUGUUUUAUUACAACACAAGAAGUAAGAUGGUGGGCUGCUAGCUCUUUAUUCACCCAGAAGACUACUGCUCCAUGCCUGCCUGCUCCCAUGGUACGCUUAGGGCACCGCGCUGUCCCCAGCUGAGGAUAUUGCCCCCCCCCCCCUCCUUCCCAGGGCAGCAGUACUCCUCUUCCUGCUCCACAGUGCCCAUCCCUGCCCCUGGCCAACUCUGUCUCCUUUCCUCUCACCCCCUCCACAGGUGGGAGAGAGGAGGCGCUGGACUGUGCUGGCAUUCACAGCUAGGAGAGCUUUGCCUGCAGACAGGGCAUUCUGGAGCUUUGUCAAAAGCAAUGAAAUAUUCUAAUUUAACAAGGCAGUAAAGUAAUUGUAUAAUGGCACUCUGCUUCCUAACUGAGGUGCUGCAUGCCAUGUCCGAACUAUACUUCCAGGGCCUUGGACCAAAAGCAGAGUCCUGUAACGCCCGCUCGGCGUCUAAAGCCAGCCUGGAUGUUGUAGCUGUACACACGAGGGAACCCCUUUUGCAGCCCACAGGAGUCGAAGGCCUGAGAACAGGACAGGAGCUGAGUCUAGGAGAAGUGAAUGAGAAUUCAAUGCUCAGAUGCCAUUAAAAACCCCAGCAGUCACGAAAUUCACUUGUAUAAAGCAAAUAUAUUUGCAUUCCUUCAUGAUUAUGACUUUCUUUUCAGUUUCCUUCCCUACUAACAGCAACCAGUACAACUAACUUGGUAUAAAUGACUUUUAGUGCUGUUCAGAAGUUUGGAGCAGCUUUUCUAAUCCUUCUCUAGCUUAUAGCUACUAGAGGCAACCUCUACUUUGAGAUGGAAGAAUAGCACCCUCAAGAGUUGACAGCAGUGCUGCUUCAGGGAUCCAUAAUAUGCAACAGACAUCCUUCCUCUUUUAGCUGAAUUAACUCCCGGACACAUUGAAGUGAAGCAACAAGACAGAAAUUUUUUCUUGAUGUUAGAUCUGAAAUAUUUGGUAUCCAUCUCUGUUAAUGUGAAUGUGGAAAUAGGCAUUUGUCUGAGAGAUUAUCAGCUUGUAAACGUUUUAGUUGCCGUUGAGGGAGGGACAAAGAAAGAAUAAGAAUGCUCUUAUUUGUCGGA
Non-coding RNA from Struthio camelus australis, 4758 nucleotides. Lineage: Eukaryota; Metazoa; Chordata; Aves; Struthioniformes; Struthionidae. The record is from RefSeq and is a predicted model, not a curated record.